GGCGCCUGGCAGUAAGUGAGAAGCCUUUGGUGGGUGAGCGUUGUCGGGGUGAUCCUCUCCCAGACACUAGCGUGGCGGGAUACAAAGGAAGUGUGUGGGCAGUCACUCUUUCCUGGCCGAGCAGUGUGCCAUUUGGCGUGGAUAUCCCAGUGUGAAGGCGUGGUGUGGCGCGGGGCGAGUCAGGCGAGUGUGGUGCGAGUGUUGGAGUCAGCUGAGUGUGGCGGCGGCGGCCAGAUGGUGAGGCUGAGCACUGGCCAGGUGAUGCUGAGUGUGCUGUGCUGUGCUGUGCUGAGUACCCGGGUGUAGGCACGGCUGCCGAACCCCCAUCACCUUCAUCUCCCCUACCUAAAGCAGCAUCCCUCGGCGGUGCUGUGUGUGCUGAGCAGCAGCCCCAGGUGCAGGCACGGACGGCUGCCUUCCCGUCGUCCUCGGCCCAGCACGCCCGUGGCCGCCCCGCCCCGCCCCGCCCCUCCUGCUGCCCAUGUGAGGCUGCAUCUACGGGCCGCGGUGUCCCCUGUGCGGGCACGGCCUCCAGGCGGGGCUUAACGCGGGCGGCGGUGUGUUCACCACCCCGCCCAUGGCUCUCGUGGGCACGCGCUCCAGCAGUGGGCGGCAGCACAUGAUGGCGGGCGUGGGGGAGCGAGGCGUGGGCGUGGUGCCCCCCGCCCACAACGCCGCUAUCCUCGCAGCCGCUCAGCCCAGCUACUAUGCCCACUUGGACCCUCGGGGCGGCGCGCCCCAGCCGGGCACGGGCGUGGGGGCCAUCCACGCCCACCACCCCCACCACAGGACCAGCGGCGCCUCGGCCCAGCAGCAGCAGCCCCCUCAGCAGGCCGGGGCGGGCGGCGUGGGCGGGCAGCAGCAACAGCAGCAGCAGCAGCCCCACCACGGCCAGACGGCCACGCCCUCGCCCACCAGCAGCAACGAGGUCACGCCCGACAGACCCAUCGGCUACGGGGCCUUCGGCGUGGUUUGGGCGGUGACGGACCCUCGUGACGGUCGCCGCGUGGCCCUCAAGAAGAUGCCCAACGUGUUCCAGACGCUCGUGUCCAGUAAGCGAGUCUUCCGGGAGCUGCGGAUGCUGUGUUUCUUCAAGCACGAGAACGUGUUAUCCGCGUUGGACAUAUUGCAGCCUCCACACCUAGACUUCUUCCAAGAGAUUUACGUCAUCACGGAGCUCAUGCAGAGUGACCUCCACAAGAUUAUCGUCUCGCCGCAACACUUGUCCGCCGACCACGUCAAGGUGUUCCUCUACCAGAUACUGAGAGGCCUCAAGUACCUCCACUCGGCAAGGAUCAUCCACAGAGACAUCAAGCCGGGCAACCUACUCGUCAAUUCCAACUGUGUACUCAAGAUCUGUGACUUCGGGCUGGCGCGGGUGGAGGAGCCUGACGAGAGCAAACACAUGACGCAGGAGGUGGUGACGCAGUACUACCGCGCCCCGGAGCUUCUGAUGGGCGCGCGCCACUACACGCAGGCCGUCGACGUGUGGUCCGUGGGGUGCAUCUUCGGCGAGCUCCUGGGCAGACGCAUCCUCUUCCAGGCGCAGAGUCCCGUCCAGCAGCUUGAGAGGAUAACAGACCUCCUCGGCACCCCCAACCUGGAGGACAUGAAGUACGCGUGCGAGGGCGCUGUGACCCACAUGCUGCGCCGCCCCUCCAAGCCCCCCGCGCUGCCCGCCCUCUACACCCUCUCAAACCACGCCACCCACGAGGCCGUCCACUUACUCACCCAGAUGCUCGCCUUUGACCCAGACAAGCGGUUGACGGUGACGGAGGCGCUGGCCCACCCCUACCUGGAUGAGGGGCGGCUGCGCUAUCACUCCUGCAUGUGCAACUGCUGCGCGUCAACCUCCUGCGGCAGCCGGCAGUACACCAUCGACUUUGAGCCAACCGCGCCGCACGCCUUCGACGACACCUGGGAAAACGAGCUGCGGUCCAUGUCGCAGGUGAAGGACCGGCUGCACAAGUUCAUCAUGAGCCACCUGGCGCGGGACCGAGUGCCUCUCUGCAUCAAUCCCAUGUCGGCCGCGUACAAGAGCUUUGCUAGGUCAGCCUGAGCUUGUGAUUUAUGAGGCAGGAGAGAUAGCGGCACCCUGUAGUAGCCUUAGGGUCAGCGCCACACAGCCCAACACAAUCCGAUACAGUCCAGACCUCGUGAACUCCCAAACCGAACGUGAAAUGCUAUAGAAAUUCCUGGUGCGUACGGUGUUUGGUGUUGGUCUAGGGCAGCGCAGUCCCCAGUGUUUUUGCCCAGGCGACCCUUUUCUCAAAAUCUAUAGACUCAUGCGCCCCGAACCUUUUAAUAUCAGUAGUCUUUUUAAACACAAAUUUUUUGAUACAUGCGCUAACAAAAUUGUAGACUCAUGCGACCCUUGAUAUCAGUAGUCUGUCUUAACACAAUUUUUGAUACACAUGGUAGCAAAAUCUAUAAACGUAUGCACCCCGAACCCUUGAUAUCAGUAAUCCGUUUAACACUAACACUAACAUUAACAUUUUUUGAUACACACGCUGAUUUUCACCCACACACCAGGCCUUGACAUGCCCCAAAAGAUACCCUAAUGUCCCCUCCCAACACUCACUAGCAGAAACACACACCUCCAGAAUGAAAGCUUGGUAAACAACUGCAAAAUGAUAAGUUAUACAAAUCAUUCCCCCAAGCCAUUUCUAUCAAGGUUUUGGACCCCCUCUCCCACCCCGGCCAAACCUCAAAACAAUAAGCUAUACAAAUCAUUCACCAAAGCCAUUUCUAGCAAGCUAAACCUCCAACGAUGGGCUAUUAAAAUCACUCGCCUAAGCCAUUUCUAUCAAGGUUUUGGACUCCCUCCCACUCCAGCCAAGCCUCAAAGCGAUAGGCUAUUAAAAUCAUUCGCCAAAGCCAUUUCUAUCAAGGUUUUGGAUUCCCUCCCACUCCAGCCAAGCCUCAAAGCGAUAGGCUAUUAAAAUCAUUCGCCAAAGCCAUUUCUAUCAAGGUUUUGGACUCCCUCCCACUCCAGCCAAGCCUCAAAGCGAUAGGCUAUUAAAAUCAUUCGCCUAAGCCAUUUCUAUCAAGGUUUUGGACUCCCUCCCACUCCAGCCAAGCCUCAAAACGAUAAGCUAUUAAAAUCAUUCGCCAAAGCCACAUCUAUCAAGGCUUCAGACUCCUCCUCACACCCCGGCCAACCCUCCCUGACCCCCUGGGAAUCCAUGGUACAGAAGGCAAUAUUUCCCAGGAUACCACUCACAGGAAAUCAUAAAAGUCAUAAAAAAGGAGGUGGGGGCCAUUAGGGAUAGUCUCGUCAGGCUCGGGAGUUGUUUAUAUCGCUGUGUUGGGCGGUGGCGCUGGCCCUGAGUUAGCCGUAGAUGCCUGACCCGGCCCCUGAUAGAUUGAUCCGUAGACCUGUGUGUAGUGUUGACAGGCGGUGGUGGUGGUGGUGGUGGUGUGGUGGUGGAGGUGGUGGUGGUGGGUGUCCACUCUGCCCCAUCCAUGUCUUGUCCCCCCCUCCCCUUUUUUUUUUUUCAAUAUGCAUUCGUUCCUUCCUGACGGUCUGGUUUUGUUGACGGUUUUUAUCAUUCUCUUGUUGUUUUCUUUCCUAAUGGUUUGGUUAGUGAACAGACAGACAGACAGACAGAUAGUGAACAGACAGACAGAUAGAUAAACAGACAGACAGAUAGAUAAACAGACAGACAGAUAGACAGAUAGUUAAACGCACUGACAGACAGACAGACAAAGAGGGAAUCAGGGACGUACUUUUUACCUAAUUAAGUGAUGCCGUUCUCUGUCUGACUGACCUGACAAUAGAGUUUUUACUUAGCUCAUAUCAGUCAAGUUUUAAUAUUUCUUUUUUAAACAUACCCAGAACUCAAAAUCAUCUCCAUUUCUGAACAUUUUCUUCAGCUUGGGUUAAAUUAUCAAGGAAUUUUGGGGUUUUGGGUUGUUAAGGUGGUAGGCGGAGGUGCAUGGAUAGCCAGGAGAGAUCAUUAACUUUUAUUUCACUACUUUAUACUUAUUUUCAACUUAUCUCUCCAUCUUUCUGUAUCACGAGGCAUCUUUUCACGGCAUGGGAUUUUACGCUGACCAGGAGAGGUGUGGGAGUGAGCCGAGAUAAGCCAUAUGUCUAGGUCUUGCGUUACUGAAUUCCUCUAAUCUUCUCCCUAUUCUUAUCUCAUUUAUCUCCAUCUCACCGUUGUCAGAUUAUCGUACUCGGAGCAUCACAUAUCCCGGCUUCUCGCCGUUUAGAUAUCACCAGGAAACCAGAAGAAUUAACCAUUUCAAUGAUAACAACAUAAAAAGCCAGUUAUUGAGGGACAGGAGACAGCUUUGGGGGUUUGGAAAUUGGGAAAUAUGAGCAAUUGAGGACAACAAUCUGGCAGUGUUGCUCUAUCUUCUUUUAUCGUGUCAUCUUCCGUGGCGAGGCAAUUUUGAGUUGACCGAUGGAUGGAUACCCAGAUAUAAUUUGCAGGUCAUGUAGAGUUGGCCAUAUGUCUGUAGGUCUUGUGUUACUGUAUUGUGUCUAUCUUCUCAUUAUUUCUAUCUCAUUUAACUCUGUCUAUUUUUAUCGCAAGUCAUCAUUCCGUAGCGAGGUAAUUUUGAGUUGACCGAUGGAUGGAUACCCAGAUAUAAUUUGUAGGUCAUGUAGAGUUGGCCAUAUGUCUGUAGGUCUUGUGUUACUGUAUUGUGUCUAUCUUCUCAUUAUUUCUAUCUCAUUUAACUCUAUUUUUAUCGCAAGUCAUCAUUCCGUAGCGAGGUAAUUUUGAGUUGACCGAUGGAUGGAUACCCAGAUAUAAUUUGUAGGUCAUGUAGAGUUGGCCAUAUGUCUGUAGGUCUUGUGUUACUCAUUAUCUUUAUCUCUGUCUUUCUUAACCUUGUCAUCAUCCGUGGCGAGACAAUUUUGAGUUGACCGAUGGAUGGAUACCCAGAUAUAAUUUGUAGGUCAUGUAGAGUUGGCCAUAUGUCUGUAGGUCUUGUGUUACUGUAUUGCACUUCUAUUCUCAUUUUUAUUAUCUCAUCUCUAUCUAUUUUUAUCUUGUCAUCAUCCGUGGCGAAGCAAUUUUGAGUUGACCGAUGGAUUGAUACCCCGAUAUAAUUUGUAGGUCAUGUAGAGUCGGCCAUAUGUCUGUAGGCCUUGUGUUACUGUAUUGCACUUCUAUUCUCAUUUUUAUUAUCUCAUCUAUCUAUUUCUAUCUCGUCAUCAUCCGUGGCGAAGCAAUUUUGAGUUGACCGAUGGAUGGAUACCCCGAGAUAAUUUGUAGGUCAUGUAGAGUUGGCCAUAUGUCUGUAGGUCUUGUGUUACUGUAUUGUGUUUAUCAUCUCAUUAUUCUUAUUUAUCUCUGUUUUUUUAUCAUGGAUACCUGAGAUAAUUUUUAGGUCCUGUAGAGUUGACGCUGCAAUUAUUUCUAUCUGCUUAUCAUUUUUAUUCCAUUUAUUUAUCUCUCCUAUCUUAUCGUCAUUCCGUGGUGAGGCAUUUAAAGGUGACUGAUAGAGGCUCCCGUGUGAGUAGCCAAAUCAUUUUAUCUAUCAUUUUCUGCUUCAUUUAUCUAUCCAGGUUUUUUUUAUCACAAGUUCUCGUCAUUCCAAAGCCAGGCGUUUUAAGACACAAUUAUUUCUAUCUUUAUCAUCCCUUUCUCUUAUCGUCAUUCCGUAGUGAGGCAUUUUAAAGUGACUGAUAGGCGCUCUCGUGUGAGUAGCCAAACUAUUUUAUCUAUCAUUUUCUGCUUCAUUUAUCUAUCCAGUUUAUUUAUCACAAGUUGUCAUCAUUUUCAAAGCGAGGCGUUUUAACCCAGUAGCUGCGGGGAUCAUGUUUCUUAAUGGUCCCUCUGAGCGAGAAAAAUGAGAAAAAAUCAUCACUCACACAAACCAUUUCAUAAUAUAUAUCACAGCAUUUUGGGGGGGUUUAUAUCAUGGCACAAAUUUGGCCUGUCGCUGCUACACGGUAAAGCCACAAAUUUGGCCCGUCGCUGCUACACGGUAAAGCCACAAAUUUGGCCCGUCGCUGCUACCGGGUUAAGAGACUGACAGAGGGGUGUGAGACUCAUCGGUGCUGACGUUAUGUACUUCAGGGGUUGACAUCAUCAGCUGACAGGCGGCUGAUCUUUGGGACUGACUUACUCAUGCUGACCUAACUCACUCACUCACUCACCUAAUGUUCCUUCCAGACUUUUGAUAACUGUAAGAUAAGCACAUGUUUAGAGGGACAGUCAGCCAGUCAGCCAGUCAGUCAGUCAGUCUGUCAGUCAGUAUUCUGUCUAUGAGGGGACCAAACUUUAUUACAUAUUCUAAAAGACAGUCACUCAGUCAGUCAGUCAUUUUAUUAUUCUGUUGGAAAGUGGACCAAAUUAUCACGUAUUUAUAGUCAGUCAGUCAGUCAGUCAAUCAGUCAAGUCAUUUUACUGUUUUGACAAAGGACCAAUUUUCAUCAACUCUCCUUUGCAUAAUUAAAAUUGCAAAGGGAAGCAACACAUAUUUUCAGCAAGUCAGUCAGUCAGUCAGUCAGUCACUUUCCAUAUUCAGUCUUCAAGUGGACCAAACUAUCUCCGCUCUCUUAGUUAAAAUUGCAAAAGAAAGCAACAUGUUUUUUUUAGCAAGUCAGUCAGUCAGUCAGUCAGUCAGUCAGUCACUUUCCAUAUUCAGUCUUCAAGUGGACCAAACUAUCUCCGCUCUCUUAGUUAAAAUCGCAAAAGAAAGCAACUUAUAUUUUUUAGCAAGUCAGUCAGUCAGUCAGUCAGUCAGUCAGUCACUUUCCAUAUUCUGUCUUUAAGUGGACCAAACUAUCUCUGCUCUCUUAGUUAAAAUCACAAAAGGAAGCAACAUAUUUUUUUUUAGCAAUUCAGUCAGUCAGUCAGUCAGUCACUUUCCAUAUUCAGUCUUCAAGUGGACCAAACUAUCUCUGCUCUCUUAGUUAAAAUCACAAAAGAAAGCAACUUAUAUUUUGUAGCAACUCAGUCAGUCAGUCACUUUCCAUAUUCAGUCUUCAAGUGGACCAAACUCUCUCAUCUCCCUUAUUUAAAACAUUGAAGGAAAGCCGCACAUAUAUUUCUCUCCUUCACCCUACAAGGAGAAGCUUUGCAUGUGGCUGCUAACCUUAAGAAACAGAGGCUAACACACUGCUCACUUCUCUCCUGGUUAUGCAUGCAUCGCUCCCUUCCUCUCUAUCUCUCUGUCCCUCCCUCUCUCUCUUCCUCCAGCUGGUAUGAAUGCAUCGUGGGUUAAGGCACUUGGGUUAGCACAAGGUCCAUUUUAAUACACUUUCGACCCUCACAACAUUGAUUUCCCAAGGCCACAGAGGGGUUAGUCAGGUUCCCAUGAGUGUUUUGUCAAGUUCAUGGUGCAGAGGCCUUGUCAAACUAUCACUAGGCUCGUAAAACUACCCACAAAGCCUCAACGAAAGCCUUGUUAAACUGUCACUAGGCUCUUAAAACUACCCAUGGCAAUACUAACACAGCAACCUCUACCAAAGCCUUGUUAAACUAUCGCUAGGCUCAUAAAACUACCCACAGAGCCUCAACAAAAGCCUUGUCAAACUAUCACCAGGCUCAUAAAACUACCCAUGGCAAUACUAACACAGCAACCACUACCAAAGCCUUGUCAAACUAUCACUAGGCUCAUAAAACUACCCAUGGCAAUACUAACACAAAAACCUCUAAGAAAGCCUUGUCAAAUGUAUGUGUGAGCCUUGAAAUGUCUGUGAAUAUGGACGUAAAAGUGUUAAACUGCCAUAGCGGAAAUUACGUAGCAGAAGAAGUAGAAAGGUGAAGAUUAGAAGGAAAAUAUAGAUAGGAAGAAGAGAAGGGAAAGGAAGGAAAGGAGGAUGUAGAAGGGGAAUAGAGAGGUAGAAGGAAGGAAGGAACGAAGGAGGGAAGGAAAAGAAAGAUAGGAAAAGGAGGUAGAAAGGAAGGAAAGAAAGAAGGAAGGAAGGAAAGAAGGAAGAAAGAAAGGAAGGAAAGAAAAGAAAAAAAUAUGAUAACAGAAAAAUGAAUGGAUAUCACUUACCAUGUGUGUGUGUGUGUGUGUGUGCGUAUAUGCGUCUCGCCAGGCUAUCAGGUCGGCACAAACAAACAAACAUACAUACACUCCCUUGACACAUGUUGGAACACGUUUUUGGUUUAAGUCGUAGCAUAGUGCACAUAACAUUAUUAACAAAAGUAACAUAAGUAUCGGUUUGCGUUCUAACAUUGACUCGGCACAUUCCUCACCUCGCUCCUUAUUUGGUAGCCUCAAGGAAGGAAGGAAUGACCCCCCGCCCCCCCUAGAAAAAAUAUAUGCCCCCCCCAUAGCAUACAAAUCUUCAAAACCAAUUAUUAUUUUUCCCCUAAUGCUCGCUGUCCCUCACCAAAACAAAAUAAACAGCCCAAUUUUUUGUAUACAACCUUCAAUGUUUCUUACUCUGUUAAUAAAGUAAUGGAAUGAU
Molecule: RNA transcript, 8386 nt
Organism: Eriocheir sinensis (Chinese mitten crab)
Lineage: Eukaryota; Metazoa; Arthropoda; Malacostraca; Decapoda; Varunidae
Gene: nmo
Gene name: serine/threonine-protein kinase NLK2-like
Exons: 10
Source: RefSeq, a predicted model, not a curated record